UGAAGUGUGGAAAUGUUCCAUGUGAACAUCACUUGGACAUGGUCGGUUAUUCAAUCCUAAGAGAUGGGGAAUCCUUGUAUCAAGGGUGCACUCUGCAUGAACAUCAAAAGAGAAUUGGGUUAAUAUUCCUGAACUAGGACAUGGUGGUGGACAACAAUGUUAGGAAAUCUGGAGAUGUCAUCGAGGACCUGGGAAGAGUUAUCUUUUCUUUUUAACGACUUUCCCACCCUGAAAUCGGUUCAACCGGAGAUAGGGUCCAACAUCUGAAAGAGCACCACACGUCUUGUGGUGUUUGGUGCCCCCUGGGCAUCCAUUGUAAAUAUGGUGAACCGAGUACCAUCCAUGCCCAAUCGUACUCAUAUAUGCCUCCUUCGAUUUUUCAAUGUCCACUAGGUUAGCGAUCUUGA
This is a non-coding RNA of Picea glauca (white spruce), 407 nucleotides long. The record is from Rfam. Lineage: Eukaryota; Viridiplantae; Streptophyta; Pinopsida; Pinales; Pinaceae.